GGGUGGUUCAGUGGUAGAAUUCUCGCCU
This 28-nucleotide non-coding RNA is filed under the name Sus scrofa (pig). Lineage: Eukaryota; Metazoa; Chordata; Mammalia; Artiodactyla; Suidae. RNAcentral also lists the same sequence under 3 other names. The record is from RNAcentral.